RNAcentral lists this ribosomal RNA (512 nucleotides) under uncultured bacterium. Its description in RNAcentral is "bacterial SSU rRNA". It matches the Rfam family "Bacterial small subunit ribosomal RNA", at positions 34 to 518 of the family's 1533-position model. The record is from RNAcentral.
CGCUGGCGGCGUGCCUAAUACAUGCAAGUCGAACGGUCUUUCUAUGGAAGCUUGCCUCCACUGAGAAGAUAGUGGCGAACGGGUGAGUAACACGUGGGUAACCUGCCCAUAAGAGGGGGAUAACAUCCGGAAACGGGUGCUAAUACCGCAUAGUUUUCUUGAUCGCAUGAUUGAGAAAGGAAAGACGGCCUUUGUGCUGUCGCUUAUGGAUGGACCCGCGGCGUAUUAGUUAGUUGGUGAGGUAAUGGCUCACCAAGACGAUGAUACGUAGCCGACCUGAGAGGGUGAUCGGCCACAUUGGGACUGAGACACGGCCCAAACUCCUACGGGAGGCAGCAGUAGGGAAUCUUCCGCAAUGGACGAAAGUCUGACGGAGCAACGCCGCGUGAGUGAAGAAAAGGUUUUCGGAUCGUAAAACUCUGUUGUCAGAGAAGAACAAGUUGGAGAGUAACUGCUCCAGCCUUGACGGUAUCUGACCAGAAAGCCACGGCUAACUACGUGCCAGCAGCCGC